Molecule: ribosomal RNA, 431 nt
Filed under: uncultured bacterium
Lineage: Bacteria
Description: partial 16S ribosomal RNA
Rfam family: Bacterial small subunit ribosomal RNA
Source: RNAcentral
AACGAACGCUGGCGGCAGGCUUAACACAUGCAAGUCGAACGCCCCGCAAGUGGAGUGGCAGACGGGUGGGUAACGCGUGGGGACAUACCCUUUCCUGCGGAAUAGCUCCGGGACACUGGGAUUAAUACCUCAUACGCCCUACGGGGGAAAGAUUUAUCGGGGAAGGAUUGGCCCGCGUUGGAUUAGCUAGUUGGUGGGGUAAAGGCCUGCCAAGGCGACGAUCCAUAGCUGGUCUGAGAGGAUGAUCAGCCACAUUGGGACUGAGACACGGCCCAAACUCCUACGGGAGGCAGCAGAGGGGAAUAUUGGACAAUGGGCGCAAGCCUGAUCCAGCCAUGGCGCGUGAGUGAUGAAGGCCUUAGGGUUGUAAAGCUCUUUCACCGAUGAAGAUAAUGACGGUAGUCGGAGAAGAAGCCCCGGCUAACUUCGUG